RNAcentral lists this ribosomal RNA (253 nucleotides) under uncultured bacterium. Its description in RNAcentral is "partial 16S ribosomal RNA". It matches the Rfam family "Bacterial small subunit ribosomal RNA", at positions 524 to 776 of the family's 1533-position model. The record is from RNAcentral.
UACGAAGGGGGCUAGCGUUGCUCGGAAUCACUGGGCGUAAAGCGCACGUAGGCGGACUCUUAAGUCGGGGGUGAAAUCCUGGAGCUCAACUCCAGAACUGCCUUCGAAACUGGCGAUCUUGAGUCCGGGAGAGGUGAGUGGAACUGCGAGUGUAGAGGUGAAAUUCGUAGAUAUUCGCAAGAACACCAGUGGCGAAGGCGGCUCACUGGCCCGGUACUGACGCUGAGGUGCGAAAGCGUGGGGAGCAAACAGG